Molecule: unclassified non-coding RNA, 2372 nt
Filed under: Leishmania donovani
Lineage: Eukaryota; Euglenozoa; Kinetoplastea; Trypanosomatida; Trypanosomatidae
Description: gene:LdHU3.25.0780(CDS-product:predicted_zinc_fin ger_protein)
Source: RNAcentral
CAGCAGCAGGUGGUUUCAUCCACCCCCACCCCCUCCCUCCUGCUACCCUUCAUCGCUGUUUUCCCCGUCGGCUUGCGUGUGUGUGUGCGCGCCAUCGACGACGCCAGAGAGUGGGGUGAGUUGCGUGGGCGCCCACCUCUUUCUCUGUUCACGUCACCCUCUUCCUCGCAAAUACCCGCUCACGGUACCUUCGGCGCCUGCGCGUUUCCGCAAGGCACCACCUGUCGCUGUGCUUCUUCCGAUGGAGCUGCACCUGUGCUUGUAUGUGUCUGAGUGUUCGCAGCCAUGAGUCUGGAUUGCGAAGGAGAUGGAGCACUGUGCGUGGAGUGCGGUGAGUUCGACUUCUUGCCGUACGCUUGUCCGUGGUGUUGUGGCACAUUUUGCGCGGCGCACGCAACUUGCCACCACAUUCCCGCCCACGCCGCGCCCACCGCUCCUGGCGCACCAUCUACGCUCCCACUCAACAAAGCAGCGGGCGACGCUGCGAUGUCAAGUUCCGCCCCGCUGUGCACGCCUCCGCAAGAGGCGCUGCUAACGCUUACCGAAGCUGGGACGACACUGGCGUCAAGCGCGCCCUCUGCGCUGCAUCAGCAUCGAUGUGUCGUGUGCCAGUCCGUGCUGUGCGCUCUGGCGCCAUGCCCUCAGUGCGGGGACUGCUACUGCGCUGCCCACCGCUUUCACGGUCACGAGGACAUCGCAUCGAAGGCGCGGCAGCAGCGGCGAGCAAAUCAGCGCGCCGUCUCCUUCGGACAGCAGGACAGGAACGGCGCGACGACGGUCGAUCCUGUUGCUGCGUUGUGCGCCCCGUUCACACCAGCACACCCUCUCGUGCUCGCCCCUGUCGGAUACCGUAGCCGCCGGACGGAUGUGCUGGCGCUCAUCGUCGCACCAGCCACCGCCGCAGUGACGAACCUCAUAGGAUCUGCGGUGGGUGGUACCGAAGCGCCCACCUAUACCAUCGGCGUCUGCAGCUUAAUUGUGGCGACAGAGAUGUCAGUGGGCCAGCUACGCGAUCGACUCGUGGGGUUUCUGCGAGAUGCAUCGGCACCCGCAGCGAAGCAGGAUCAGGAUAGCGAGGCGGCCGGGUGGAUGCUGUCUUGGUGGUCGGAGUGGGUCUCCUCAGCGCACGCGACUUUGUUUAGUGUGGCCCCCGCUGCCACCGCCACUGACAGUGCGGCUGUUGUUGGGUCAACAUUGCGCCGCGUGCCAGCGCUGUCGCUGGUGCAGCUCCCGGUUGAUGCUAUUCUCCGGAAAGCACCGAUGACGAAUGCGACGGUGCUGCUGAGCCUAACCGACGCCGCCUCGGCAGACCACACGACUUCGGAAGAGAGGGCGGCUCUGCAGCGCCUUAUGGUAACAGUCCUGUACGGGAAGGCCACCUGCCUGUCGGCACCUUCCUCCUCGGCUGCUGCUCUGUCAACGUCUGCAAGGACGUCUGCCUACCGCGAUGACCGCGUCAAGGCGCUCGCCACGCGUCUCUAUCUUCAACAUCAGCAGCUGCUCCGCCGUACCGCGGCAGGCGCUCAAGAAACCAGCGUGGGUGCCCCGGAUACGGCGGCAGACAAAGCGGAAUGGCGCAACUCUCAGCCGUCGGAGGAUCGCGCCGGGGCCUCUGCGCCGGAGACAGGGAUGCUGCCGGAGCCGGCACUCGACGCUGAAGGUGAUGCUACUCUGUCUUCUGCUACCGUCAUCGAUGUGGCUGGCAACGUGACACCGUUGCCGGCCGCGUCUGUGUGGCCGUUUCGACACGCUCCACCGCUGAACAGCUUCGACUUCUUCAACACUAAGCUGAGUCCGUGUGGCGCUUCGGCGAUUCGCCCUGCUACCGCCCCGCGCGUUGUGGUGGCGGUCUUCGUCGCGGAUGCCGCCAUGCCUGUGGCCUUGAUGCCAAUGUGCAUCGCGCUUGGCCGCGACUGGCCGCUCGCCCGUGUGGUGGAUCGCCUGCGCGAGGAGGUUGGGGAGCAGCAAAUGGCGCAGCACCGUGACGCCAGGGAGGCGCUCAACACCUUCUCUGUGUAUCGUCUUGGCAGCGGCAGCGGCGCCGGUUCGGCAGCGGUGGGCACUGAGGGAGGGUUAGCCUGCUUAUGGAGCGGCCGCGCGAGAACCCCCACGUCGUCCACUCCGGUGACGCUACAAAACAGGGAUGUGCUGCUGCUGUGCCCCGCGGAUUUGCCUGGUGCCGAGGCUGCGGUGAAGGACGAGCUGCAGCGACUACGGGGCUUGACGGGGAAGGCGAGGACGGCGCUCAAGGCCGAUCAAAUGACGAAGUGUGUUGUUAUGUGAAGCGCACGCGCACACACACACGUAAGAUUGGCGUAGUGGCCGCAGAGCUGAUGGCUUGUAUGUGCGUGUGGGUGUGCGCUUGUUCUGAG